UACGUAGGGAGCAAGCGUUGUCCGGAAUCAUUGGGCGUAAAGCGCGCGUAGGCGGCCUCAUAAGUCCGUUGUGAAAGUCAAAGGCUCAACCUUUGAAAGCCGAUGGAUACUGUGGGGCUAGAGUCCGGAAGAGGCGAGUGGAAUUCCUGGUGUAGCGGUGGAAUGCGCAGAUAUCAGGAGGAACACCAAUAGCGAAGGCAGCUCGCUGGGACGGUACUGACGCUAAGGCGCGAAAGCGUGGGGAGCAAACAGG
This 253-nucleotide ribosomal RNA is filed under the name uncultured bacterium. RNAcentral describes it as "partial 16S ribosomal RNA". It matches the Rfam family "Bacterial small subunit ribosomal RNA", at positions 524 to 776 of the family's 1533-position model. The record is from RNAcentral.